RNAcentral lists this ribosomal RNA (468 nucleotides) under uncultured bacterium. RNAcentral describes it as "partial 16S ribosomal RNA". It matches the Rfam family "Bacterial small subunit ribosomal RNA", at positions 28 to 507 of the family's 1533-position model. The record is from RNAcentral.
GACGAACGCUGGCGGCGUGCUUAACACAUGCAAGUUGAACGGAAAGGCCCUGCUUUUGUGGGGUGCUCGAGUGGCGAACGGGUGAGUAACACGUGAGUAACCUGCCCUUGACUUUGGGAUAACUUCAGGAAACUGGGGCUAAUACCGGAUAGGAGCUCCUGCUGCAUGGUGGGGGUUGGAAAGUUUCGGCGGUUGGGGAUGGACUCGCGGCUUAUCAGCUUGUUGGUGGGGUAGUGGCUUACCAAGGCUUUGACGGGUAGCCGGCCUGAGAGGGUGACCGGCCACAUUGGGACUGAGAUACGGCCCAGACUCCUACGGGAGGCAGCAGUGGGGAAUAUUGCACGAUGGGCGGAAGCCUGAUGCAGCAACGCCGCGUGCGGGAUGACGGCCUUCGGGUUGUAAACCGCUUUCGCCUGUGACGAAGCGUGAGUGACGGUAAUGGGUAAAGAAGCACCGGCUAACUACGUG